AACUUCAAACAGAUCAACAUCUCCAUAAUUGAAGAGAAAGUAGAAACAAAAACCAACAGCAAUUCGCAAUUUCAAAGAACAAGUGCCAUACAGAAUGAUUUACUUGUCUCCAAAGAGAAAAUUCCUUCCCUUUUUGGCCAUGAGUUAGCAGGAAAGGAGUGCCAAUAGGAAAACACUACACUGUGUAGCCACCCUAUAUAUCCAUAUAUAGUUCUAAUUUUAGUCUAUGCUUAGAUAAGUCAAAGGAAGGUGUCUAACAUGAAAUGGCAUUUGGUCCACUCUUUAGAACAUAAUCUGGAACAUACUUGCUAUGACAAACUGGAACAAAAAUGCAAAGCAAUGAGCAGUGGGAAAU
Molecule: unclassified non-coding RNA, 355 nt
Filed under: Hevea brasiliensis (rubber tree)
Lineage: Eukaryota; Viridiplantae; Streptophyta; Magnoliopsida; Malpighiales; Euphorbiaceae
Source: RNAcentral